Molecule: ribosomal RNA, 483 nt
Filed under: uncultured bacterium
Lineage: Bacteria
Description: partial 16S ribosomal RNA
Rfam family: Bacterial small subunit ribosomal RNA
Source: RNAcentral
AUUGAACGCUGGCGGCAUGCUUUACACAUGCAAGUCGAACGGCAGCGCGGGCUUCGGCCUGGCGGCGAGUGGCGAACGGGUGAGUAAUACAUCGGAACGUGCCCAGUAGUGGGGGAUAGCUCGGCGAAAGCCGGAUUAAUACCGCAUACGACCUGAGGGUGAAAGCGGGGGAUCUUCGGACCUCGCGCUAUUGGAGCGGCCGAUGGCAGAUUAGCUAGUUGGUGGGGUAAAGGCCUACCAAGGCGACGAUCUGUAGCUGGUCUGAGAGGACGACCAGCCACACUGGGACUGAGACACGGCCCAGACUCCUACGGGAGGCAGCAGUGGGGAAUUUUGGACAAUGGGCGAAAGCCUGAUCCAGCAAUGCCGCGUGUGUGAUGAAGGCCUUCGGGUUGUAAAGCACUUUUGGCGGGAACGAAAAGGACUGUGCCAAUACCACGGUUCGAGGACGGUACCCGCAGAAUAAGCACCGGCUAACUACGG